AGUUCUGCAAUCACUCUCCUUUUUAUGAGCUUUCUUUUCAUCUUCUCCUUAAUGAAUGUAAGUUUUCCUUCUUUUUUUUGUUUGAGUUUUGGGUCCUAUUUUGUUGAUUUUAUAUUCAAUUGUUUUGAUAAUAUUGCUUCCAAUUUUUGCUACUUUGUUGGUAUGUCGUUGUAGGUAUGUUGCAUGGACAAAAUUCUAUGUUGAAUCCUCUCUUCUUCAUCAUCUUUUAUGCACAAGAGUGCAGAAUUUUUCAGUGGAAGCAUUAUGUUGAACCACAAGAGCAGUGAAGCAACUUCUACUAUCAUAUCGUCAUUGGCUAAGAGAUGUAUUCGAGCUAUAUGAUACAUGGGUUACCAACGAGGCAACGAUUAGUGAUUUCACAAAGGCCCAAGCACUUGUAAUGUGUUGUCAUUGUAUAUCACAUACAUGGCGUGUUCCUCAAACAUAAAAGGUAAUAUGGAGAUAGGCAACUCUCAUUUGCUUGGAGUGCAACUUGAAUCAAUUUUUUUCGUCUCUGGGAGUAGAAAAAUAGGAGUAUUACAUGGUGUCCACUUUGUGACUUCACAAACACUCAUCAACUUUUACUUUUGGAAAUUGGUUAAGAGAGAGUUAUGUGGACAUGGGUAUAAAAUUAGCUGACGUGACUAACCAAGACAUGUCUGAAUGGUUCGGAAAGCAUUUCAAGUAAGUUGCACUCAUUGUGAUUAUCUUCGGUGCUACUUUGAAUAGGUUCUAAAUGUAUAAUUAAGUUAUUGCAUUGUGUCGUUGGUGUUGGUAAUUUAACACAUUUAUUUUAAUACAUUUUCACAUUUUUCAUAGAUUCUUAAUAGUUAUUUGACCAAGAUGGUUAUUGAUACAUGCUUUACACUUUACAGAACUUCUGCGCUAGCAUAAGGGAAAAAAAGUUGGAAGGCGUAGUAAUUUAAGUUACAUAAAGAAUGAAAAUAUAGAAAAUUAUUGACCUUGAUCAAAUGUUGAUGAUAAAUGAUUAUCUCAGUAGCUAUACUCACGGUUUCUACCCAAUGCCAGGAAUAAGUGGAAAGAGUUUUCAAGUAAUUGUAGAUAAAUUAAAAAUCCGAUGGAAAGCAUAUAUUUAUUUCUAUUUUGUGUAUGAACAAAUUGUUUUGUCAUACGUGGAUGCUGAACUGGCAUUCGUAAAUUGACUUGAUCUUCUUUUUUCGUAGAUUUUACUUGAAUCAUUCUAUGCAUAUGAAUGAGUUGCAUUGUGCUUGGCUAAUAACCAAAGCAAGAGUGAGGUUUGCUUAUGGAUGGUAUAAAUAUUGCAAACUUGAACUUUCUUUCGAACUAUGGAUACGAUAUGUUGU
Molecule: long non-coding RNA, 1325 nt
Organism: Solanum stenotomum
Lineage: Eukaryota; Viridiplantae; Streptophyta; Magnoliopsida; Solanales; Solanaceae
Exons: 4
Source: RefSeq, a predicted model, not a curated record